UCUGAAAAUGGGUAAGUUGAUUCUCCACGUUUGGUAGAAGUGAUCCAAAAAUUUGCCUACCUAACUGAUUUGCCUUGCAAUUGAGUUUUGCACGCAAAGUUGGACCAAAACUAGCGCUGCAAUCCUAUUUCCACGGUGGUAUUCGACCGAUAACUGGGUAAAUGAAAACUAUGAAAAUGGAUGCUCCCAAAACUACCCUUGCUUAACCUACUAGCGCCAAAGUGAGUAACCUCCCACCAAAUCCUCCCGCCAAAGGACAUAACGGAGAAGCUCGUUUGAAGAUCUACACAAAGGCUGACUAGAUUGGGUUUCACAGCAACUUCUGUUUGCAACAUCAAUCUGACAAGCGCGGGUAGUGGAACCAGAACACUGCCGUGAACAGAGGCAAGGCUGAACAGAGGCAAGCGCGGGUAGUGUUGUUGUCCAUCGUUCGUGGUACACACCCUCAUUGGGUACUAGCCGAUUGAUUUACCUUGUCGAAUUGCAAAAGGUUGUAAAUACUGCAAAAGGGAUGAUGCUUUAUCUUGUCUUGUUCGAUUUGGGCUUGAUUGUUUUAUCUACCAAACUUGGUAUUGACCUUAAUAAUAUGAUACUAGUGUUUCAGCUUUUUUAUUUGAAUUGAAUUCUAUGUAUUUGCUGUUUUCAUCAGUUUAUAUGUACUAGGAGAUUAGAUGGCAGC
This is a long non-coding RNA of Gastrolobium bilobum, 679 nucleotides long. RefSeq lists it as uncharacterized. Lineage: Eukaryota; Viridiplantae; Streptophyta; Magnoliopsida; Fabales; Fabaceae. The transcript has 3 exons. The record is from RefSeq and is a predicted model, not a curated record.